GCUUUUGUAGCUUAGUUGGUUAGAGCACCUGUUUAGUAAGCGGGAGGUCUUUAGUUCAACUCUCAAUAAGAGCA
Transfer RNA from Ipomoea nil (Japanese morning glory), 74 nucleotides. It matches the Rfam family "tRNA". Rfam says of the family: Transfer RNA (tRNA) molecules are approximately 80 nucleotides in length. The record is from Rfam. NCBI's taxonomy places the organism in Eukaryota, Viridiplantae, Streptophyta, Magnoliopsida, Solanales, Convolvulaceae.